Long non-coding RNA from Ostrea edulis (European flat oyster), 1327 nucleotides. RefSeq lists it as uncharacterized. NCBI's taxonomy places the organism in Eukaryota, Metazoa, Mollusca, Bivalvia, Ostreida, Ostreidae. The transcript is spliced from 4 exons. The record is from RefSeq and is a predicted model, not a curated record.
GUGCAACUGAAACUGAAGAUGGAAACGACACGACAUGACCGGCCAAAGGUGGACGCUGGUCAGUGGGGUCCCCUAUAUCAAUGGAUGUCUGAGUCAAACAGGUGUUUGUCCCCUGGACACAUUAAAAAACAACUAAAAGUUGAUAUAUUGAGAGUGAAAAUUUUAAUAAAAUACUCGACAGAGCUUGUACGUACAUUUGUACAUGUAUAUAAUUUCGUUUAGAAUGUAAAAAGAAACCAUACUGCAAUCUCUGUCGUGGUAAUAGACGUGGUAUUACCAAUUUGAUGAACAGAAGAAAAAAUUAAAAAAGAAUUGCUCUCAUCAGCCACGUACCUCAAAACACUUGACUUGAUACCAAUUCAAUAUUUCGGCAGUGUGAUGCAAGAUUAGCGAUUAGUCAGUUUUAUCACUAUCUUAGUUAAAUGCAAUCUGCCAUCAUUCGAAGUCUAUUUGCACAUCUGUUGUAUACAGAUCUUAAAAUUAGUGAAUAGGUGAGGAGGUGUGUUUAAUAUGACACCUCUUAUUUGUAGUUCAUAUACCUUUUAUUUUCAUUCCUGGCGAUUUUCUGCUGCGGUGUGUAAAUUACAGCAACAGAAUCAAUCUGGUCCAUAAAUUGCUCUUCUUAAACUCUUUAAUUGGAAAACUGAUAUUGCACGGGAAAAUCGUGACAAGAUAACUACCCUGAAAUUCAGUUAAUAGCUGGGUGGAGAAGACGGACGCAAAAAAGACAUCCUAUCUUUGUUUCCUGUGUGGUAAACGUGUGAUAGACCCGUGAAACUAAAUCUGAACAGAGGUCUGUUAACAGCGUGGGAACGUAUGCAAGUCGGGCUCGGAAUUCUCCUUGAGGAAGUGAUACCUAGUAAUCCCGUCAUGAAGAGCACAUUGUUAUAUAGAUAACGAGGAGCUACACAGUUCACCAUGCAGAACAAUUUAAUAGUCAAAUAACUGUCUUGAGUUUGUUGUUGAUGGACUGGGAUGACCAGAGUAGCUAUUCAACAAAAGUAGACCUCGUGUGGCAACUGAAAUCAGCUUGACUAAAAUUGAAAUACCUGCAGAGUAUGAAGUAUGUCUGGCUGUUUCUGUCUCAGACUAAAACACAUUAAAGUUCGGAGAAAAUGUUACUUGUUCUGGAACAAAAUGGGACUGAGGUACGCCAACAUUGUUUUGUUUCCAUUGGUACAUCAUUUGUGAUGGUUGUUGGCUACCAAGCUGUGAUGCCGUCAUUAAACCAGUUUAAAUCUAUAACAGUAUCAUACGCCGUGUUCUAUCACAAUUACAGAUGACGCAACACCUCUUCACAUUAGAUUCAUGUCAAAUCUAAGGAAGA